RNAcentral lists this ribosomal RNA (468 nucleotides) under uncultured bacterium. RNAcentral describes it as "partial 16S ribosomal RNA". It matches the Rfam family "Bacterial small subunit ribosomal RNA", at positions 28 to 507 of the family's 1533-position model. The record is from RNAcentral.
GACGAACGCUGGCGGCGUGCUUAACACAUGCAAGUCGAACGGAAAGGCCCUGCUUUUGUGCGGUGCUCGAGUGGCGAACGGGUGAGUAACACGUGAGUAACCUGCCCUUGACUUUGGGAUAACUUCAGGAAACUGGGGCUAAUACCGGAUAGGAGCUCCUGCUGCAUGGUGGGGGUUGGAAAGUUUCGGCGGUUUGGGCUGGACUCGCGGCUUAUCAGCUUAUAGGUGGAGUAGUGGCUUACCCAGGCUUUGACGGGUAGCCGGCCCGGGAGGGUGGACGGCCACAUUGAACCUCGGGUGCGGCGCAGACUGCUACGGGAGGCAACAGUAGAGAAUAUUGCACAAUUGGCGGAAGACAGAUGAAACAACGCCGCGUGCGGGAUAACGGCCUUCGGGUUAUAAACCACUUUCGCCUGUAACGAAGCGUGAGUGACGGUAAGAGGUAAAGAAGCACCGGCUAACUACGUG